Molecule: ribosomal RNA, 756 nt
Filed under: uncultured bacterium
Lineage: Bacteria
Description: bacterial SSU rRNA
Rfam family: Bacterial small subunit ribosomal RNA
Source: RNAcentral
AGAGUUUGAUCAUGGCUCAGAAUCAACGCUGGCGGCGUGCCUAACACAUGCAAGUCGCACGAGAAAGUGGAGCAAUCCAUGAGUAAAGUGGCGCACGGGUGAGUAACACGUGAAUGAUCUACCUCCGAGUGGGGAAUAACUGAGAGAAAUCUUAGCUAAUACCGCAUAACACUUACGAGUCAAAGCAGCAAUGCGCUUGGAGAGGAGUUCGCGGCCGAUUAGUUAGUUGGCGGGGUAAUGGCCCACCAAGACGAUGAUCGGUAUCCGGCCUGAGAGGGCGCACGGACACACUGGAACUGAAACACGGUCCAGACUCCUACGGGAGGCAGCAGUGGGGAAUUUUGCGCAAUGGGGGAAACCCUGACGCAGCAACGCCGCGUGGAGGAUGAAAUAUCUUGGUAUGUAAACUCCUUUCGAUGGGGAAGAUUAUGACGGUACCCAUAGAAGAAGCCCCGGCUAACUUCGUGCCAGCAGUCGCGGUAAUACGAGGGGGGCAAGCGUUGUUCGGAAUUAUUGGGCGUAAAGGGUGCGUAGGCGGUUUGGCAAGUCUUAUGUGAAAUCUCUGGGCUCAACCCAGAGUCUGCAUGAGAAACUGCCGGGCUUGAGUAUGGGAGAGGUGAGUGGAAUUUCCGGUGUAGCGGUGAAAUGCGUAGAUAUCGGAAGGAACACCUGUGGCGAAAGCGGCUCACUGGACCAUUACUGACGCUGAUGCACGAAAGCUAGGGGAGCAAACAGGAUUAGAUACCCUAGUAGUCC